This 467-nucleotide ribosomal RNA is filed under the name uncultured bacterium. RNAcentral describes it as "partial 16S ribosomal RNA". It matches the Rfam family "Bacterial small subunit ribosomal RNA", at positions 28 to 506 of the family's 1533-position model. The record is from RNAcentral.
GACGAACGCUGGCGGCGUGCUUAACACAUGCAAGUCGAACGGAAAGGCCCUGCUUUUGUGGGGUGCUCGAGUGGCGAACGGGUGAGUAACACGUGAGUAACCUGCCCUUGACUUUGGGAUAACUUCAGGAAACUGGGGCUAAUACCGGAUAGGAGCUCCUGCUGCAUGGUGGGGGUUGGAAAGUUUCGGCGGUUGGGGAUGGACUCGCGGCUUAUCAGCUUGUUGGUGGGGUAGUGGCUCACCAAGGCUUUGACGGGUAGCCGGCCUGAGAGGGUGACCGGCCACAUGGGGACUGAGAUACGGCCCAGACGCCUACGGGAGGCAGCAGUGGGGAAUAUUGCACAAUGGGCGGAAGCCGGAUGCAGCAACGCCGCGUGCGGGAUGACGGCCUUCGGGUUGUAAACCGCUUUCGCCUGUGACGAAGCGUGAGUGACGGUAAUGGGUAAAGAAGCACCGGCUAACUACGU